RNAcentral lists this ribosomal RNA (394 nucleotides) under uncultured soil bacterium. RNAcentral describes it as "bacterial SSU rRNA". It matches the Rfam family "Bacterial small subunit ribosomal RNA", at positions 26 to 410 of the family's 1533-position model. The record is from RNAcentral.
AGGACGAACGCUGGCGGUGUGCUUAACACAUGCAAGUCGAGCGGAAAGGCCUUUCGGGGUACUCGAGCGGCGAACGGGUGAGUAACACGUGAGUAAUCUGCCCAUCGCUUCAGGAUAGCCAUCGGAAACGGUGAUUAAUACUGGAUAUGACAUUCCUUCGCAGUGUUGGGGUGUGGAAAGUUUUUUCGGCGGUGGAUGUGCUCGCGGCCUAUCAGCUUGUUGGUGGGGUAAUGGCCUACCGAAGGCUUUGGACGGUAGCCGGCCUGAGAGGGUGACCGGCACACUGGGACUGAGACACGGCCCAGACUCCUACGGGAGGCAGCCAGGUCGGGGAAUAGUUGGAGAACGUGGGGUCGGAAGCCUUAGGAUCCCAGGCGAACGCCGCGUGAGGACG